This 224-nucleotide unclassified non-coding RNA is filed under the name Hevea brasiliensis (rubber tree). Lineage: Eukaryota; Viridiplantae; Streptophyta; Magnoliopsida; Malpighiales; Euphorbiaceae. The record is from RNAcentral.
AAGUUAAGGUCGGGGAAGUGACUAGAGGAAUAAGCUCUAGUGGACGUGCCUCGAUGCGCUGUUGUGUGGGUUAAUUGUGCUUUUGGAAAACGAGGGCAUGUGGCUUAUGUGAUUGGAGUCUGGUGACUAGAUCAAUGUGGAAGGCUGAUUAGCAGUUGCUUUCUCUCCUAUGACAAGCGGUGAGACAAGGUGAUCUCCCGAAAGUGGUGACUUAUGAUAAUAGU